UUAAAGAUACUCCUGCCUAGCCACAGAAACAAGCAAUGGGGGCAGCCCGGAGAGAACCUCGGGGAGGUGAAAUUCCUGUGA
This 81-nucleotide non-coding RNA is filed under the name unclassified sequences. The record is from Rfam.